This 253-nucleotide ribosomal RNA is filed under the name uncultured bacterium. RNAcentral's name for it is "partial 16S ribosomal RNA". It matches the Rfam family "Bacterial small subunit ribosomal RNA", at positions 524 to 776 of the family's 1533-position model. The record is from RNAcentral.
UACGUAGGGCGCAAGCGUUGUCCGGAAUUAUUGGGCGUAAAGAGCUCGUAGGCGGCUUGUCACGUCGAUUGUGAAAGCCCGAGGCUUAACCUCGGGUCUGCAGUCGAUACGGGCUAGCUAGAGUGUGGUAGGGGAGAUCGGAAUUCCUGGUGUAGCGGUGAAAUGCGCAGAUAUCAGGAGGAACACCGAUGGCGAAGGCAGGUCUCUGGGCCACUACUGACGCUGAGAAGCGAAAGCGUGGGGAGCGAACAGG